Molecule: ribosomal RNA, 253 nt
Filed under: uncultured bacterium
Lineage: Bacteria
Description: partial 16S ribosomal RNA
Rfam family: Bacterial small subunit ribosomal RNA
Source: RNAcentral
UACGAAGGUCCCAAGCGUUAUCCGGAUUUAUUGGGUUUAAAGGGUGCGUAGGCGGGCUAUUAAGUCAGUGGUGAAAGCCCCCGGCCUAACCGGGGAACUGCCAUUGAUACUGAUGGUCUUGAGUACAGACGAGGUAGGCGGAAUUUAUGGUGUAGCGGUGAAAUGCAUAGAUACCAUAAAGAACACCGAUUGCGAAGGCAGCUUACUUGGCUGUAACUGACGCUGAGGCACGAAAGCGUGGGGAGCAAACAGG